RNAcentral lists this ribosomal RNA (492 nucleotides) under uncultured bacterium. RNAcentral describes it as "partial 16S ribosomal RNA". It matches the Rfam family "Bacterial small subunit ribosomal RNA", at positions 29 to 507 of the family's 1533-position model. The record is from RNAcentral.
AGUGAACGCUGGCGGUAGGCCUAACACAUGCAAGUCGAACGGCAGCACAGUAAGAGCUUGCUCUUACGGGUGGCGAGUGGCGGACGGGUGAGGAAUACAUCGGAAUCUACUUUUUCGUGGGGGAUAACGUAGGGAAACUUACGCUAAUACCGCAUACGACCUACGGGUGAAAGCAGGGGAUCUUCGGACCUUGCGCGAUUGAAUGAGCCGAUGUCGGAUUAGCUAGUUGGCGGGGUAAAGGCCCACCAAGGCGACGAUCCGUAGCUGGUCUGAGAGGAUGAUCAGCCACACUGGAACUGAGACAGGGUCCAGACUCCUACGGGAGGCAGCAGUGGGGAAUAUUGGACAAUGGGCGAAAGCCUGAUCCAGCCAUACCGCGUGGGUGAAGAAGGCCUUCGGGUUGUAAAGCCCUUUUGUUGGGAAAGAAAAGCAGCAGGUUAAUACCCCGCUGUUCUGACGGUACCCAAAGAAUAAGCACCGGCUAACUUCGUG